Molecule: ribosomal RNA, 460 nt
Filed under: uncultured bacterium
Lineage: Bacteria
Description: partial 16S ribosomal RNA
Rfam family: Bacterial small subunit ribosomal RNA
Source: RNAcentral
CCUACGGGUGGCAGCAGUGAGGAAUAUUGGUCAAUGGCCGGAAGGCUGAACCAGCCAUGCCGCGUGAAGGUCAGUGCCCUAUGGGCGUUAAACUUCUUUUGUGCGGGAGCAAUAAUGGUCACGUGUGGCCAGACGAGAGUACCGUACGAAUAAGCAUCGGCUAACUCCGUGCCAGCAGCAGCGGUAAUACGGGGGAUGCAAGCGUUAUCCGGAUUUAUUGGGUUGAAAGGGUGCGUAGGCUGGGAGGUAAGUCAGCGGUGAAAUGCCCCGGCUCAACGGGGUGAAGCGCCAUUGAUACUGCCUUGCUGGAAUGCGGAUGCCGUGGGAGGAAUGUGUGGUGUAGCGGUGAAAUGCAUAGAUAUCACACAGAACACCGAAUGCGAAGGCAGCUCACGAAUCCGCGAUUGACGCUGAUGCACGAAAGCGUGGGUAUCAAACAGGAUUAGAUACCCGGGUAGUC